This is a long non-coding RNA of Colossoma macropomum (tambaqui), 1075 nucleotides long. RefSeq lists it as uncharacterized. The record is from RefSeq and is a predicted model, not a curated record. NCBI's taxonomy places the organism in Eukaryota, Metazoa, Chordata, Actinopteri, Characiformes, Serrasalmidae. The transcript is spliced from 3 exons.
AGGAGCACGUUUCGGCCACGUUUUUGUACGGCGGGCGGCACAGAAGUGCAUUGUGUUGGGACCGGAGUAGGGAGGGAGGAGGAGGAGGGUGCUGGAGGAGCACAGCUGCACGGCGCACAAGAGCCGGCUUCUCAGCCUGACAGGCAGGCAAGCAGCGAGAGGGAGAGAGCGAAACGAGGGCUCUUCCGCCGCUCUCUUGGGGGGGCCCCUCCGUCCAGCAGUCCCCCCCCACCAACCCCACAACCUCCCCACUCCUCCGCGCUACAGCAGCUCCGUCCGGGAUUUUUAUUUAUUUAUUUAUUUAUUUAUUUAUUUAUUUUAAAAUCAAAGCACCGAAAUGUGGAAUGGGCGCGGACGAGUGAAAGGAUUCUGUUCCCUUCUUCUGUGGCUGGCUACUCAAAUUCAGUACAUGGGUGGAGCAGCAUCUGUUAAUGCAAUCCAGGAGUGCUGACAUCAAGCCAGGAGUAGAAAGUCAAGGAACUGGCUUGUGCAGUCUGCAGGUAAAACCUUUUGUUCUGUCUUUCACUGUAAAUCUCUCUGUAAACAUACAAGCUGACCAUUUACUUUCUAUUUUCUGCAACCUGUCAACAGUUUGGACACUCCUACGUAUAGAAAGCUUUUCCUUAUUUUUGCCACAUUGUAGAAAAACAGUGAACACAUAAAAACUGUGAAAUAAUGUGUGUCAAGGUAUGUCGUGAUAAAUCCAAAGCACAUUCUGUUUUACAUUCUUUUAGAAAGUAGCCCCUUUUUGCCUUGAUGCAACUUAAUGCACUCUUGCUGUUCUCUCAAGCAGCUUCAGGAGGAGCCAUUUGAAAUACUUUUACAACAAUACUGAAGAAGACCUUGAGGCCUUGAUGUUGCUGGAAACCACUUGUGGGCAUUUAAAAAGCCAAAUAAUUUUUUUUUUUUUGUUUCGGAAGUCAUAUAUAGGCAUUAACUUUACUGUUUCUGUUCGUCUUAGAAAGAAAUUUCGUUUGCAUGUUCAGUCAAAGUACUCUGCGAAAGUCAGAGAUCACUUUUCAUUGAUUUAAUUUCUAGUCAGAGCACUCGGUACGUACAAGUUACUCAUUUUUCA